This 253-nucleotide ribosomal RNA is filed under the name uncultured bacterium. RNAcentral describes it as "partial 16S ribosomal RNA". It matches the Rfam family "Bacterial small subunit ribosomal RNA", at positions 524 to 776 of the family's 1533-position model. The record is from RNAcentral.
GACGGAGGGCGCGAACGUUGUUCGGAAUCACUGGGCGUAAAGGGCGCGUAGGCGGACCGGUAAGUCAGACGUGAAAUCCCGGGGCUCAACUCCGGGUCUGCGUUUGAAACUGUCGGUCUAGAGUGCAGGAGAGGAAGGCGGAAUUCCAGGUGUAGCGGUGGAAUGCGUAGAUAUCUGGAAGAACACCAGUGGCGAAGGCGGCCUUCUGGACUGACACUGACGCUGAGGCGCGAAAGCUAGGGGAGCAAACAGG